CUGUAACGAUGUGUCACAUUCACGUCUAGAGUGGCGCUGCCUCUGAGCGGCGACACGCAAAAGUAGUCACUCUGUUGUUUGUCCUUUUUUUCUUUUUGUUUUAUUCUGUUUGUCUUGUGCAAUCAGUGUUUUGUUAUCAUCAUGAGCUAAGGAGCGCACAGGUUUUGCAACCGAGCGGAUCUAAUGAGAGGAGCACUGGACUUAAUGGCGUUGCCCGAGGGACAGUCACAGCUGAGAACUGACAGCGUGUGUAGCGGCCAGCAGCCCCACUCGCUGAAAUACAGCCGUGACUUUUCGAUCCGCUGUAGAGGCUCAAAAGUCGGGACCUUGCCAGCUGGCAUUCCGCCGGAGAUCUGCAAAACAAGAGUCCGAGACGGGAGGUGGGCGACGGGACGCAUGAGGAAGCCGUGCAAGUUGCUGCGAGGAGCGGUCUUGACAAGGAAGCGAGGGCGGAGAGGAGGAGUGCGACUGCGGCUUCGCCAACUUGGAUUACCCCGCUUACCCCUUCCCUCUAUCAUCCUUAGUAACGCACAAUCACUGAGAAACAAAGUAGAUGAGCUUCAAGCUCAUGUAAAAUGCAUAUCCGAAUAGAAGGACGCUUGUGUGAUUGCACUAACAGAGACGUGGUUAAAGAAUCACGGCUUGAACCAGGACCUGGAAAUCACUGGUUUCGGGCAGCCUUUUCGGCUCGACAAAGAAGCACAGCUGACAGCUACCUAGUUGCUAAGCUAGGGAAGCUAAGCUAGUACUGGUACGAAGCUACUGUGCUCUGAAGACAGCAAGAACUUGACCCGGUGAAAGAAACAAGAGUGUAGCCUGGAAGAGUUGCUGUCAUGGCGCGGUGUCGAACCCACAUUUCCUCGGCGGUUGGAGCUGCGUGCACCUCUGCUGACAGUGCGCCAAGAGACACCUCUGCUCACAACGCACUCAGACACGUCCUCACUCGUGCUGAGUGCAACACGCCCACGCAGCAACGAGCCUGCAGCCUAUCAAGAAUCAACACUGAUGAGAGGGAGCUGCGUAAAGACCAGCAGACCCGAGGGACCUUUGCCAGAACGUAGCCAAUCGUUCACAGUAAACAUCACGUCUGGCACCUCUCCCUCGUUCCUUGCUCGCCUUCUUUGUGCUCUUCCUGGUUCCCGUGUUUGAUGUCCCUUGUGUCUUCCGCAGAGUCUUCCUUGUUGCCUGUGAUCGUUCCUUGCCUCACGACCUCCACCCGGAUCUCUGCUUGCCUCCCUCGACCCUCGACGCCAGCUUGGACUCGGAAAUUGUUGCCUCUCUCCAACCCCCGACUGCUCGCUUCCCUGCUGACUACCUCUUCGCCUUGCCCCUUGGAUUUGAUGAAAUAUGCACACAACACGCACCGACAACAACCCCUGGUAAGACUUACAUUGUUAAUUCUACACCUCGUCCGCACACAGUUACUUGUGGUAGCAUACACACCCCACACACUCAUCAAGGUUUUCAAUAAACCUGGUAAACCGCAGUUCUGCCUUGGUGUCGCCUCCUUCCCUCUGCCCGGUACAUAACAGUACGUU
Molecule: long non-coding RNA, 1538 nt
Organism: Nerophis ophidion (straightnose pipefish)
Lineage: Eukaryota; Metazoa; Chordata; Actinopteri; Syngnathiformes; Syngnathidae
Exons: 3
Source: RefSeq, a predicted model, not a curated record